RNAcentral lists this ribosomal RNA (350 nucleotides) under uncultured bacterium. RNAcentral describes it as "bacterial SSU rRNA". It matches the Rfam family "Bacterial small subunit ribosomal RNA", at positions 1046 to 1387 of the family's 1533-position model. The record is from RNAcentral.
UGGCUGUCGUCAGCUCGUGUCGUGAGAUGUUGGGUUAAGUCCCGUAACGAGCGCAACCCUUGUCCUUAGUUACCAGCACGUAAUGGUGGGCACUCUAAGGAGACUGCCGGUGACAAACCGGAGGAAGGUGGGGAUGACGUCAAGUCAUCAUGGCCCUUACGGCCUGGGCUACACACGUGCUACAAUGGUCGGUACAGAGGGUUGCCAAGCCGCGAGGUGGAGCUAAUCCCACAAAACCGAUCGUAGUCCGGAUCGCAGUCUGCAACUCGACUGCGUGAAGUCGGAAUCGCUAGUAAGCGCGAAUCAGAAUGGUCGCGGUGAAGCACGUUCCCGGGAUUGCACAACACGAG